UACAGAGGUGGCAAGCGUUGUUCGGAAUUACUGGGCGUAAAGGGCGCGUAGGCGGUUCGUUAAGUCCUGUGUGAAAUCCCCCGGCUCAACUGGGGAACUGCACAGGAAACUAGCGGGCUUGAGUUCGGGAGAGGGAAGCGGAAUUCCGGGUGUAGCGGUGAAAUGCGUAGAUAUCCGGAGGAACACCGGUGGCGAAGGCGGCUUCCUGGACCGACACUGACACUGAGGCGCGAAAGCUAGGGGAGCAAACGGG
RNAcentral lists this ribosomal RNA (253 nucleotides) under uncultured bacterium. RNAcentral describes it as "partial 16S ribosomal RNA". It matches the Rfam family "Bacterial small subunit ribosomal RNA", at positions 524 to 776 of the family's 1533-position model. The record is from RNAcentral.